GAUGAACGCUGGCGGCGUGCUUAACACAUGCAAGUCGAGCGAAGCACUUAAGUUUGAUUCUUCGGAUGAGGACUUUUGUGACUGAGCGGCGGACGGGUGAGUAACGCGUGGGUAACCUGCCUCAUACAGGGGGAUAACAGUUAGAAAUGGCUGCUAAUACCGCAUAAGACCACAGUACUGCAUGGUACAGUGGUAAAAACUCCGGUGGUAUGAGGUGGACCCGCGUCUGAUUAGGUAGUUGGUGAGGUAACGGCCCACCAAGCCGACGAUCAGUAGCCGACCUGAGAGGGUGACCAGCCACAUUGGGACUGAGACAUGGCCCAGACUCCUACGGGAGGCAGCAGUAGGGAAUAUUGCACAAUGGGCGAAAGCCUGAUGCAGCGACGCCGCGUGAAGGAUGAAGUAUUUCGGUAUGUAAACUUCUAUCAGCAGGGAAGAAAAUGACGGUACCUGACUAAGAAGCCCCGGCUAACUACGUGCCAGCCGCCGCGGUAA
RNAcentral lists this ribosomal RNA (495 nucleotides) under uncultured bacterium. RNAcentral's name for it is "partial 16S ribosomal RNA". It matches the Rfam family "Bacterial small subunit ribosomal RNA", at positions 28 to 523 of the family's 1533-position model. The record is from RNAcentral.